This 253-nucleotide ribosomal RNA is filed under the name uncultured bacterium. RNAcentral's name for it is "partial 16S ribosomal RNA". It matches the Rfam family "Bacterial small subunit ribosomal RNA", at positions 524 to 776 of the family's 1533-position model. The record is from RNAcentral.
GACAGAGGGUGCAAACGUUGCUCGGAAUUACUGGGCGUAAAGCGCGUGUAGGCGGCCCAGCAAGUCGGACGUGAAAUCCCUGAGCUCAACUCAGGAACUGCAUCCGAAACUGCUGGUCUGGAGUGGUGGGGAGGGAAGCAGAAUUCCUGGUGUAGAGGUGAAAUUCGUAGAUAUCAGGAGGAACACCGGUGGCGAAGGCGGCUUCCUGGACAGUUACUGACGCUGAGACGCGAAAGCGUGGGGAGCAAACAGG